RNAcentral lists this unclassified non-coding RNA (158 nucleotides) under uncultured Ascomycota. Its description in RNAcentral is "sequence contains ITS2". The record is from RNAcentral. Lineage: Eukaryota; Fungi; Ascomycota.
CACCCCCCAAGCUUGGCUUGAUGUUGGACGGAGCGGAGAGAAUCUGCCCGUCUGAAACUUGUGAGGCGCCGUCCGUCGAGCACCAGCGUGGCAAGCAAACUUCGCUGGGAGUGUUUCGAUGGGUGGCGGCCGCGAACUACCUUUUUAUAUCAAAAUCA